AGCUAGCGGUUCUCAAAAAAAAAAUGCAAAUUCAAUCCUCAUGUUGCCCCUCCCCAGCACAACAGGAAGAUCUUCUCUGGACAACUUAAGUAUUUGACCUUUUCAAAAAGUGCAGUAAAACAACCAUUCUUAUGACAAGAUUAGAAAGCACAAAACUUUGUAGAGUGGUUUAUUAAUCUACUCUAAUAAGUGUCAUUUCCAUAACUCAUAUGUCACUGAAUCAAGCAUGAUCUCCAAACACUUACCAUAGGGUCCUGAAAGCACAAUUCAGUCUUUUGCUUCAAAUCUCAUGUUUAAGGACAUUUCUCUUAAAUAGCUAAAUUUAAAUUCAACAUCAAUCUGAAAAAGAAAGUGACCAUUUUAUUUUUAAAAUAUUACUGAAAUGUUCAAGUCUUCUAUUAGCAUCUUUAUUCACAACAUAAAAAUAAAGUUUUAUUUCUUCCAGGUAAGUAUCUGCAAUCUCAAUGUAAAGUCCAGAGUUUAGUUUUUUAUUACAUUCGUGUUGCUUACAAUAGUCCACUGUUUUAGCAUAAGCGAUAAGGAAGCCCCCUUACUUCUUUCCUUCUGAGACCUCUACCUUGCCGCACUUUCUUCAGUCUGGUUCCAAUCGUAACGGCGGUUAAACAGUGGAAUGUCUCUUAAGAGUUUUACGGGGACUUGAACUAUUUCUGUAAUAUUUCGAUGGACACUCUCCGUGUGUAUGUUUUCCAGCUAGUUCACAGAGAAUUUACAGUAGUGGAAGGCUGCUGGAUUCUACUGAUCCAGCUAGAAUGAUCUAUUUUGGCUACCGAGCCAAUCAUACAAGACGUUCUUUGGAGUGUGUGUUUGCUGCUUCAAGAAUUUUGUGGAAACAGCCCUUUCUCUUAAAGAAAUCGUCACAUCAUUUAAUUUUAAGAAUACAAUUACAGUCGAUGGUAUAUGAGGACCUUGCAAAUCUCAGCAAAGGGACAAGAUAAAACCACUGUGGUUCAAAAGUUCAGAAUUCAAAGCAUCAAAGUAUAGGGCUGUAAGAAAGGAGAUUCCUCUGGGAUGGCCAUCAUUUCUUACAUUCCCACCAUCGCUUUGCUGGUUUGCUGUGAAAACCAUUCUCCCGGACCCCCUCAUUACAAUUUCUGCUGUGACCAGCCAUAGUCACUUGAAACUCCUGUUAAAAAGCAAGGC
This 1161-nucleotide long non-coding RNA is filed under the name Rattus norvegicus (Norway rat). RNAcentral's name for it is "long non-coding RNA NONRATT031767". The record is from RNAcentral. Lineage: Eukaryota; Metazoa; Chordata; Mammalia; Rodentia; Muridae.